AGCUUUGCACAGUGGCACUAUUGUAGCCAAUGAGGUUUAUCCGAGAAGUGAUUAUUGCUAAUUGAAAAAUUACCCAUUGCUUAUCUGAAAUUUAAAUGUAACUGGGCAUCCUGUAUUUUUAUUUUCUAAAUCUGACACACCCAUUCAGGA
Heterocephalus glaber (naked mole-rat) is the source of this 150-nucleotide small nuclear RNA. Its record names the gene U4. It matches the Rfam family "U4 spliceosomal RNA". Rfam says of the family: U4 small nuclear RNA (U4 snRNA) is a component of the major U2-dependent spliceosome. The structure of U4 snRNA from yeast and human has been reported. Lineage: Eukaryota; Metazoa; Chordata; Mammalia; Rodentia; Bathyergidae. The record is from Ensembl.